AACAUCUGACAAGGCAUUUCAGCCUGGAGUCAGUCAAAAAAUCUUAGAGGUCUGUAAAGGAGAUGACUAUGCUGUUAGGGCUGUGGUAGAAACCUUUAAUAACAAGUGAAAAGAGCUUGUAUUUGCCAAAAUGAACACAGGAUAUGAUUCUUUUUUUGCUUUUGCUUUGGAGUUGUAUCAGCUCUGUGCGGUCACAUGGGUAUCUACAAAUCAAAGCACCCAUCAACCAGAUGCAUCUCUGAGAGUUAACAGCAGAAGGUGGCAUAAUAAAAGAAGUUCUCGGUAGUGAAAAAGGGCCAUGCUGGAUAAGGAGCUGGCUGCCUCUGUGAACAUCCUACUCAAGGCAUCUUCACUGGAACUAAGAUUCUGUGAAUACACCGUUCCCCUGGGUCUCAAACUAGCUCUAGAGGAGGCCCUCAUGAUACCACCUCAGCAGAGGCUGUACAUCCUUUUGAAAUCCCAGAGAUCUUCAGUCUCCCUGUGGAUUAAGGAGAUGUGCAGUAUUUAAAGUGGCUUCAGGAAGGCAUGGAAGAGGACUGAGUGGGGAAAGCUUUUUGUGCAUGCUGCUGGCUACCUCCAGCGGCUGCCUCCAGCCUCCAUCAGCUGCACUCUGGGGAAGAGGAGGCUGCCUUCUACCUCCCAGCAUCUCUGGAUUUCAUGUUCCUGUCAGCACAGAGGAGCUAAAUGGCCUG
Homo sapiens (human) is the source of this 692-nucleotide long non-coding RNA. Ensembl annotates it as cutA divalent cation tolerance like, pseudogene. Its record names the gene CUTALP. The record is from Ensembl. Lineage: Eukaryota; Metazoa; Chordata; Mammalia; Primates; Hominidae.